AUUGAACGCUGGCGGCAGGCUUAACACAUGCAAGUCGAGCGGUAACAGAGAGAAGCUUGCUUCUCUGCUGACGAGCGGCGGACGGGUGAGUAAUGCCUAGGAAUCUGCCUAGUAGUGGGGGAUAACUUGCCGAAAGGUAAGCUAAUACCGCAUACGUCCUACGGGAGAAAGGAGGGGACCUUCGGGCCUUUCGCUAUUAGAUGAGCCUAGGUCGGAUUAGUUAGUUGGUGAGGUAAUGGCUCACCAAGACCGCGAUCCGUAACUGGUCUGAGGGGAUGGUCAGUCACACUGGAACUGAGACACGGUCCAGACGCAUACGGGAGGCAGCAGUGGGGAAUAUUGGACAAUGGGGGGAACCCUGAUCCAGCCAUGCCGCGUGUGUGAAGAAGGUCUUAGGAUUGUAAAGCACUUUAAGUUGGGAGGAAGAGCAGUUAACUAAUAUUUGACUGUUUUGACGUUACCGACAGAAUAAGCACCGGCUAACUUCGUGCCAGCCGCCGCCGUAA
Molecule: ribosomal RNA, 506 nt
Filed under: uncultured bacterium
Lineage: Bacteria
Description: partial 16S ribosomal RNA
Rfam family: Bacterial small subunit ribosomal RNA
Source: RNAcentral